GGGAAUUUUCCGCAAUGGGCGAAAGCCUGACGGAGCAAUACCGCGUGAGGGAGGAAGGCUCUUGGGUUGUAAACCUCAAAACUCAGGGAAGAAGAAAGUGACGGUACCUGAUAUAAGCAUCGGCUAACUCCGUGCCAGCAGCCGCGGUAAUACGGAGGAUGCAAGCGUUAUCCGGAAUCAUUGGGCGUAAAGCGUCCGUAGGUGGCAUUUCAAGUCUGCAUUCAAAGACCGAGGCUCAACCUCGGGCAGGGUGUGGAAACUGAAAAGCUAGAGUACAGGAGGGGUAGAGGGAAUUCCUAGUGCAGCGGUGAAAUGCGUAGAGAUUAGGAAGAACACCAGUGGCGAAGGCGCUCUACUGGACAUGUACUGACACUGAGGGACGAAAGCUAGGGUAGC
RNAcentral lists this ribosomal RNA (396 nucleotides) under uncultured bacterium. RNAcentral's name for it is "bacterial SSU rRNA". It matches the Rfam family "Bacterial small subunit ribosomal RNA", at positions 357 to 769 of the family's 1533-position model. The record is from RNAcentral.